Molecule: ribosomal RNA, 334 nt
Filed under: Nitzschia cf. incrustans
Lineage: Eukaryota; Bacillariophyta; Bacillariophyceae; Bacillariales; Bacillariaceae
Description: bacterial LSU rRNA
Rfam family: Bacterial large subunit ribosomal RNA
Source: RNAcentral
GCUUUACUGUAACUUGAAAUUGAAAUUGGACUUUAUUUGCGCAGUAUAGGUGGGAGGCAUUGAUUUUAUUCUUGCGGGAAUUUAGGAGCCAUCAGUGAGAUACCACUCUGGUAAUGUUAGAUUUCUAACUUUGUAUCAUAAUCUGGUCAAAGAACAGUUUCAGGCGGGCAGUUUGACUGGGGCGGUCGCCUCCUAAACGGUAACGGAGGCGUACAAAGGUUUCCUCUGAACGUGUAGAAAUCGUAUCUAGAGUAUAAAGGCAUAAGGAAGCUUGACUGUGAGACCUACAAGUCGAGCAGGGACGAAAGUCGGUCUUAGUGAUCUGACGGUGCUG